This 465-nucleotide ribosomal RNA is filed under the name uncultured bacterium. RNAcentral's name for it is "partial 16S ribosomal RNA". It matches the Rfam family "Bacterial small subunit ribosomal RNA", at positions 28 to 507 of the family's 1533-position model. The record is from RNAcentral.
GACGAACGCUGGCGGCGUGCUUAACACAUGCAAGUCGAACGGAAAGGCCCUGCUUGCAGGGUCGUCGAGUGGCGAACGGGUGAGUAACACGUGGGUGCUCUGCCCUGCACUUCGGGAUAAGCCUGGGAAACUGGGUCUAAUACCGGUUAGGAGCCAGUUUUAGUGUGAUGGUUGGAAAGUUUUUUCGGUGUUGGAUGAGCUCGCGGCCGAUCAGCUUGUUGGUGGGGUAAUGGCCUACCAAGGCGGCGACGGGUAGCCGGCCUGAGAGGGUGGACGGCCACAUUGGGACUGAGGUGAGGCCCAGACGGCUACGGGUGGCAGAUGUGGGGAAUCUUGAACAAUGGGCGCCAGCCUGAUGAAGCGACGCCGCGUGGUGGAUGACGGCCUUCGGGUUGUAAAAUCCUUUCGCUAGGGACGAAGCUUUUUGUGACGGUACCUAGAUAAGAAGCACCGGCUAACUACGUG